UGCGUAGGCGGAAUAUUAAGUCAGUGGUGAAAUCCCAGAGCUCAACUCUGGAACUGCCAUUGAAACUGGUAUUCUUGAAUAUAGUUGAGGUAGGCGGAAUGUGUAAUGUAGCGGUGAAAUGCUUAGAUAUUACACAGAACACCGAUUGCGAAGGCAGCUUACUAAACUAUGAUUGCCGCUGAUGCACGAAAGCGUGGGGAGCGAACAGGAUUAGAUACCCUGGUAGUCC
RNAcentral lists this ribosomal RNA (229 nucleotides) under uncultured bacterium. RNAcentral's name for it is "partial 16S ribosomal RNA". It matches the Rfam family "Bacterial small subunit ribosomal RNA", at positions 568 to 796 of the family's 1533-position model. The record is from RNAcentral.